GCAAACUUGGUCAUUUAGAGGAAGUAAAAGUCGUAACAAGGUUUCCGUAGGUGAACCUGCGGAAGGAUCAUUAUCGAAUUGUUGAAACUUGGUUGUCGCUGGCUCUCUCCCCCUUGGGAGAUUGCAUGUGCACGCCUAGUUCAAACUUUUCAUUAUUAACCUCCUGUGCACUUUUGUGGAUCUUGGAUGGAUAAACUUUAUCAAAGUAAAAUUUGGUUUUGAGGAUCGCGCAGUUUGCUUUCCUCUACUAUGUGUCCAUGGUUCAUGUCUUUUUUUACUACAAACUAUAUAAACCUAGAAUGCUUUACAAGUUGGGACUUUAGUGACCCUUCUUAAAUCUUAUACAACUUUCAACAACGGAUCUCUUGGCUCUCGCAUCGAUGAAGAACGCAGC
RNAcentral lists this unclassified non-coding RNA (394 nucleotides) under uncultured fungus. RNAcentral's name for it is "partial contains small subunit ribosomal RNA, internal transcribed spacer 1, and 5.8S ribosomal RNA". The stretch from base 1 to 73 matches the Rfam family "Eukaryotic small subunit ribosomal RNA", at positions 1759 to 1831 of the family's 1831-position model. The record is from RNAcentral. Lineage: Eukaryota; Fungi.